CCCCUUCUUUCUCUCUCAUACUAGCAGUGGCAAUAGUAGUAGGAACUAGCAAGGAAUGGAGCGGAGGAAAGCAGCAGGUGACAUGAAGCGAAGCGAGUCAGAGCUGGCCCUCCAAGAGGUUAUCAAGAAGACCACCCAAAUUAGAGGUGAAGAAAUGAAGGAAAAUCGUGACAACUCUUUUUCUGCUGAGCUCGACAGCUUCUUUGGCGAUGAUCUCUCUUUCUCCUUCAAAACUCUGGUUUGGAUUCUUUACAUUUAGAUACUUGUGUUUUAAUUUUUAUUUAUUAACACUUGUUGAAAAGCUUUGGACAAUCAUGCUGACCUGUACCCACAAUCCCAUCCAUUGAAACUAAUUAUUUUAUAUAAAUUAAUGUUACUUUAGAAUUUAUUGUUAUGAGAAUUCAGGAAUACCUUACUAAGCCAACCAUUCAUUCAAAUGCUUAAUUUCCUGCCCUGCGCCUGAUCUUAGUCCAAAGAUGAAAUUCUUAAUCCGGAGAGAUUUUAAAUAACGUGAAAGAAAGUAGAGUUAAAACAAGAUGUAUAAUUUUUUAAUAUUAAUAUAAAAUUAAUCUCAAAUAGAAUUAAAUGAUGGAAAAAAAAAAUUGUAUAACCAAUCUUAUUCAAUCUGAAAUUAAGUUUUAAUUGUUGUUGUUAAUGUUUGUGGCAAGAUCAACUGUAUUUUAUAUGUUUCUGAGUUUAUCUAUUUACUUUUGACAAAUAUUUUAAUGCUUAUUUUCAAGAUUAUGAUGGUAAAGAAAUACUUCAUUUUAUUCUAUAUCUUUAUAAGAAGAGGACAUUUAGUCUCAAAUUUGAGUCCUUAUCGAAGCAAAAUGCUUAAUUUCCAAGUCCCAUCUUCUUAAUAGAUGCAUGUAUGCAGGACGCGAUGAAUGGUUUUUCAAGUUGUGGACUCCCAGAAUCAUUUGUUGUGUGGUCUCAAAACAUCAGCCCCAAGCAAUCCAGCAUUUCAUCAGCACCCAUUGAUGCUCAGUCAUCAGUUUGUGGUAUGUUCUUCAAUCAGAGUGUCUGUCUAAAUGAAGGAAUUGUCUUGUUUCGUUUCUCAGUAACAUUCAAAUAACUUCAAAUUUGAGCAGUUAGCAGUCCAUUGUCGGCCAAUAAUAAACCAAACCAAACAAGAGUAAGUAGCAGUGGUUCCUCAGACGAUGAUGAUGCAGAGACAGAAGCCGGUCCUUGUGAACAGAGCAACAAUUCCAAUCCCAUUGAUUUAAGACGCAUUAGAAGGUACUCUCAGUCACUCUCUCUCAACUCUCACCUAUGCAUAAGCAAGCCAAUAUGAUAUCGUGAUUCUGGCCUUUAGGAUGGUUUCAAACCGGGAGUCAGCUAGACGAUCAAGAAAAAGAAAACAAGCACAUUUGCACGAGCUUGAAUCGCAGGUAUAAAAUUUAAUAUUUAUUAGUAAAUUGGAUAGGAAAAUUCUAGACCUGUGUACCUGUGUUUGUGUCUUGGUAAGAUUUUUUCCAUUGGAUACAUAUUUAGAGAAAGCAAUGUCACAGGUUGCUUCAUGGGUUUCAGGUUGAACAACUCACAGGAGAUAAUGCGUCUUUGUACAAGCAGCUUUCAGAUGCUUCUCAUCAAUAUCGUGAUGCUCAUACAAAUAACCGAGUUCUUAAAUCAGACGUUGAGGCUUUGAGAGCCAAGGUGAAGCUAGCUGAAGAUAUGGUUACUCGAGGUUCCUUAACCUCUAGCUUGAAUCAACUUGUUCAUCAAAAUCAUCUAACGUCACCUCAACCACUCAAUAACCAUAAUCUGCGAGUCUCACCAACCAUCACAAUUAAUGGAGAUGAUGCCUCGUAUGCUGUUGGAGUUGGAAAUGCCGAUAUUAGUAAUGGCAAUCUCAGGAGCAGUGUCAUGAGUGAUGCUGUAAGCUGUGUGUCGGAGCUUUGGCCUUGAGAAUGAGAGAAUAUCAAUAUCGGAUUGCCUUUCCACUGUAAAAUUAGGUGUAUGUGUCUUCUUAUGUCUUAGGUUGUUUCCUGUCAUCCUCACUUGUGGUAAUGUUGUUGUCUGUACAAUAUAUAGUUGUUUUCUGCUUAUAAGUACAAUAAUUAAUGGAUUUCUUUUUUUACCUAAACUAAGCCUAUCAUUGGUUCAAGACAUAAGAUGAAUCUUAGAUUCAUGAUUGAUAGUGCUUAAUGAAAAUUCAA
RNAcentral lists this unclassified non-coding RNA (2159 nucleotides) under Hevea brasiliensis (rubber tree). The record is from RNAcentral. Lineage: Eukaryota; Viridiplantae; Streptophyta; Magnoliopsida; Malpighiales; Euphorbiaceae.